CAAAAACAUCGCCUCUUGAACAAAAAUAAGAGGUCCAGCCUGCCCAGUGACUAAUGUUCAACGGCCGCGGUAUCCUAACCGUGCGAAGGUAGCGUAAUCACUUGUUCUUUAAAUGAGGACUAGUAUGAACGGCACCACGAGGGUUAUACUGUCUCCUCUUUCUAAUCAGUGAAACUAAUCCCCCCGUGAAGAAGCGGGGAUAAAACUAUAAGACGAGAAGACCCUAUGGAGCUUUAAAUUUACCUUCAAGCGCCAAAAUUAGAUACCAAGUUUUUAACUUCACCAUAUGAACUCUCGCGCCAUGGGGGCAACUUUUAGGUUGGGGUGACCAUGGAGUAUAAAACAACCUCCAUGCUGAAUAGGCCUCCAAGCCUCGAGCCAAGGGCUACGACCCACCGCACUAAAACACUAACAUCCAUUGAUCCAAUGUACUUUGAUCAACGAACCAAGUUACCCUAGGGAUAACAGCGCAAUCUACUUCAAGAGUUCCUAUCGACAAGUGGGUUUACGACCUCGAUGUUGGAUCAGGGUGUCCCAGUGGUGCAGCCGCUACUAAUGGUUCG
Molecule: ribosomal RNA, 563 nt
Filed under: Scinax ruber group sp. ABGD cluster 41
Lineage: Eukaryota; Metazoa; Chordata; Amphibia; Anura; Hylidae
Description: partial large subunit ribosomal RNA
Rfam family: Bacterial large subunit ribosomal RNA
Source: RNAcentral